Molecule: ribosomal RNA, 1106 nt
Filed under: Bacillus smithii
Lineage: Bacteria; Bacillati; Bacillota; Bacilli; Caryophanales; Bacillaceae
Description: bacterial SSU rRNA
Rfam family: Bacterial small subunit ribosomal RNA
Source: RNAcentral
AACCGGGGCUAAUACCGGAUAAUAUCUUCCUUCGCAUGAAGGAAGGUUGAAAGGCGGCGCAAGCUGCCGCUUGCAGAUGGGCCCGCGGCGCAUUAGCUAGUUGGUGAGGUAACGGCUCACCAAGGCGACGAUGCGUAGCCGACCUGAGAGGGUGAUCGGCCACACUGGGACUGAGACACGGCCCAGACUCCUACGGGAGGCAGCAGUAGGGAAUCUUCCGCAAUGGACGAAAGUCUGACGGAGCAACGCCGCGUGAGCGAAGAAGGUCUUCGGAUCGUAAAGCUCUGUUGUCAGGGAAGAACAAGUACCGUUCGAACAGGGCGGUACCUUGACGGUACCUGACCAGAAAGCCACGGCUAACUACGUGCCAGCAGCCGCGGUAAUACGUAGGUGGCAAGCGUUGUCCGGAAUUAUUGGGCGUAAAGCGCGCGCAGGCGGUCUCUUAAGUCUGAUGUSAAAGCCCACGGCUCAACCGUGGAGGGUCAUUGGAAACUGGGAGACUUGAGUGCAGAAGAGGAGAGCGGAAUUCCACGUGUAGCGGUGAAAUGCGUAGAGAUGUGGAGGAACACCAGUGGCGAAGGCGGCUCUYUGGUCUGUAACUGACGCUGARGCGCGAAAGCGUGGGGAGCGAACAGGAUUASAUACCCCUGGUAGUCCACGCCGUAAAACGAUGAGUGCUAAGUGUUAGAGGGCUUCCAACCCUUUAGUGCUGCAGCUAACGCAUUAAGCCUUCCGCCUGGGGAGUACGGCCGCAAGGCUGAAACUCAAAGGAAUUGACGGGGGCCCGCACAAGCGGUGGAGCAUGUGGUUUAAUUCGAAGCAACGCGAAGAACCUUACCAGGUCUUGACAUCCUUCGCUACCUCUAGAGAUAGAGGGUUCCCCUUCGGGGGACGGAGUGACAGGUGGUGCAUGGUUGUCGUCAGCUCGUGUCGUGAGAUGUUGGGUUAAGUCCCGCAACGAGCGCAACCCUUGACCUUAGUUGCCAGCAUUCAGUUGGGCACUAUAAGGUGACUGCCGGUGACAAACCGGAGGAAGGUGGGGAUGACGUCAAAUCAUCUUGCCCCUUAUGACCUGGGCUACACACGUGCUACAAUGGAUGGUACAA